CACAGGGCCGGAGCACAGCCGGGCUGCAGAGGAGGCGGCCAUGAGCAUCCCGUGCCGAAGCGAAGCGCUCCAGAAGGAUGCGCCUUUGCUAGGUUUCCUGCAGGAAGAAGUUAACAGUCAAUGGAGAGGAAGAUUUGUGUUCCCGGCAACCAAAAUAGACCGCUACACCAAUGGAGCCACUCCCUGUCUCCCAUUGGCCACCAACUGCAGGAUGGAGUCUCCACAGGUCUUCCUCUUUGUGUGUGGAGUGUUGAGACAGACGCAUCUUCUCCAGAGCAAACCAACUGCUGACCUGUAUGUAGCUGGACUGUGGUUUCACCGGGUAGGGAGUAAAGAAGAGUUGCCUCUUUUCUGAAGGACGAUAAGUUUCAUGCCAACAAGAGAUUUGUCACAGGUUGUGUUAUAGGAUAGAGGGUUAGAAACUAGGUGAUGUUUGUGUUAUUCCCAUAGCAGGAUAUAUGUUCUGUAUCAUUUAUUCUUAAAAUCAAAGUUAUAUGUGUCUGAAGUUUAAAGAUUCAGAUAGUUGAACAAGGUUUGGUCUCAAAAAGAACUGUUCUCCCAUCCUCCACUUCUCACCCCUGAUCCCCUGAGGUCAUUACUUUCAAGCCUUUGAGCUGGUUCCUUUGAUAUUGACCUCACUCUCUCCAAAUACCAUGAGCAUAUUGCUACCUCUUGAUCAUUUAAUGCUAGGCAUUCUGUUCACUUCCCUGCAAUGAAGGUGAGGAUAGAGUUCUCCAUCCCCAAUUCCUGUCCCCUCACCAUUCCAUUGCAGUCAGAUCUUAACUUGACGACAAUAUUCAGUGACCAUGUUUUAUGGGCAAACACCAUUUAUAGCUGAGCCAGGUAAGACGCUAUGGUUCCUUUUCCUUUCCUGCAUAUUAUUUUAUUUUUCUGGGCAUUAAUAAUUAUGGAUUUUUUCUUUGCUUUGUUUUCUGUGUAUUUAUUUUAAUUAACCCCAGACUCUCCCCAUUUAUGCAAAUCUCCCCUCAAUACAUUCAAAAGCAUAAAUUGUUC
RNAcentral lists this long non-coding RNA (1014 nucleotides) under Ictidomys tridecemlineatus (thirteen-lined ground squirrel). RNAcentral's name for it is "lncRNA (ENSSTOG00000032239.1)". The record is from RNAcentral. Lineage: Eukaryota; Metazoa; Chordata; Mammalia; Rodentia; Sciuridae.